GUGUGUGUGUGUGUGUGUUUGUGUGUGUGUGUAGGGUCUUUCCUGCAUAGAGGAAUUUUAGGUGCCCCCCAAAGAAGUUUUAGCCAGCCCCAAAGAAAAAUCACCAGCAACAAAAUGAUAAGAAUUGAAAAUAAAAAUAGAAAUUCCAAUCCUGUCGAAAUGUGUUUAAGAGCAAUUUACCAA
Etheostoma spectabile (orangethroat darter) is the source of this 183-nucleotide long non-coding RNA. RefSeq lists it as uncharacterized. The record is from RefSeq and is a predicted model, not a curated record. The transcript has 3 exons. NCBI's taxonomy places the organism in Eukaryota, Metazoa, Chordata, Actinopteri, Perciformes, Percidae.